This 253-nucleotide ribosomal RNA is filed under the name uncultured bacterium. RNAcentral describes it as "partial 16S ribosomal RNA". It matches the Rfam family "Bacterial small subunit ribosomal RNA", at positions 524 to 776 of the family's 1533-position model. The record is from RNAcentral.
UACGGGGGGGGCAAGCGUUGUUCGGAAUUACUGGGCGUAAAGGGCUCGUAGGCGGCUAACUAAGUCAGAUGUGAAAUCCCUCGGCUUAACCGGGGAACUGCGUCUGAUACUGGAUGGCUUGAGAUUGGGAGAGGGAUGCGGAAUUCCAGGUGUAGCGGUGAAAUGCGUAGAUAUCUGGAGGAAUACCGGUGGCGAAGGCGGCAUCCUGGACCGGCAUUGACGCUGAUGAGCGAAAGCUAGGGGAGCAAACGGG